UACAGAGGGUGCGAGCGUUGUCCGGAAUCACUGGGCGUAAAGGGCGCGUAGGCGGCGCGGUAAGCGUGCGGUGAAAGCCCGGGGCUCAACCCCGGGUCGGCCGUGCGGACUGCCGGGCUGGAGCACUGUAGAGGCAGGUGGAAUUCCGGGUGUAGCGGUGGAAUGCGUAGAGAUCGGGAAGAACAUCGGUGGCGAAGGCGGCCAGCUGGGCCAUUGCUGACGCUGAGGCGCGACAGCGUGGGGAGCAAACAGG
This 253-nucleotide ribosomal RNA is filed under the name uncultured bacterium. Its description in RNAcentral is "partial 16S ribosomal RNA". It matches the Rfam family "Bacterial small subunit ribosomal RNA", at positions 524 to 776 of the family's 1533-position model. The record is from RNAcentral.